This is a long non-coding RNA of Hevea brasiliensis (rubber tree), 255 nucleotides long. RefSeq lists it as uncharacterized. The record is from RefSeq and is a predicted model, not a curated record. Lineage: Eukaryota; Viridiplantae; Streptophyta; Magnoliopsida; Malpighiales; Euphorbiaceae. The transcript is spliced from 2 exons.
AGUUACCAAAGACUCAGGAAAAGGGAAGGAAACACUGAGUCCAGAUCAGGGGGACAGUCAUCAGAGGUAGAGAGACAGACAGGGCAGCAGGCUAGGCUGCUAGUAUCGCCAGCGAGAGAUUUUUGGGUAUAGUGAGUAUACCACAUGUGGCAUUUUGUACUGUAAUGUAUAUUCACUGUAUGUAUAUUUUGUUCUUGGUUUUGAGCAGUUGUAAAUUUAAGUUGUACAGUAAAGUUGUAAAAUAAUUAUGAGUUA